Molecule: ribosomal RNA, 96 nt
Filed under: Alnus incana
Lineage: Eukaryota; Viridiplantae; Streptophyta; Magnoliopsida; Fagales; Betulaceae
Source: RNAcentral
UGCACCGGAUCCCAUCAGAACUCCGCAGUUAAGCGUGCUUGGGCGAGAGUAGUACUAGGAUGGGUGACCUCCUGGGAAGUCCUCGUGUUGCAACCC